CCUACGGGAGGCAGCAGUGGGGAAUAUUGGACAAUGGGCGAAAGCCUGAUCCAGCAAUGCCGCGUGAGUGAUGAAGGCCUUAGGGUCGUAAAGCUCUUUUACCCGGGAUGAUAAUGACAGUACCGGGAGAAUAAGCCCCGGCUAACUCCGUGCCAGCAGCCGCGGUAAUACGGAGGGGGCUAGCGUUGUUCGGAAUUACUGGGCGUAAAGCGUACGUAGGCGGUUAUUCAAGUCAGAGGUGAAAGCCCGGGGCUCAACCCCGGAACGGCCUUUGAAACUAGAUAGCUAGAGUCUUGGAGAGGUCAGUGGAAUUCCGAGUGUAGAGGUGAAAUUCGUAGAUAUUCGGAAGAACACCAGUGGCGAAGGCGACUGACUGGACAAGUACUGACGCUGAGGUACGAAAGCGUGGGGAGCAAACAGGAUUAGAUACCCUGGUAGUCCACGCCGUAAACGAUGAUAACUAGCUGUCCGGGUACUUGGUAUCUGGGUGGCGCAGCUACGACAUUAAGUUAUUCCGUCCGUCGGGUAGGUACGGUCGGCGAGAAUUAAACUACAAGAAGUAGACG
RNAcentral lists this ribosomal RNA (566 nucleotides) under uncultured bacterium. Its description in RNAcentral is "bacterial SSU rRNA". It matches the Rfam family "Bacterial small subunit ribosomal RNA", at positions 338 to 915 of the family's 1533-position model. The record is from RNAcentral.